GACGAACGCUGGCGGCGUGCCUAACACAUGCAAGUCGAACGAAGCACUGCGGAUGGAGACUUCGGUCAACUGAAGCUUUGACUUAGUGGCGGACGGGUGAGUAACGCGUGAGGAACCUGCCUUUCAGUGGGGGACAACAGUUGGAAACGACUGCUAAUACCGCAUAAUGUAUCGAGAGGGCAUCCUCUUGAUACCAAAGCUUUAUGUGCUGAAAGAUGGUCUCGCGUCUGAUUAGCUUGUUGGCGGGGUAACGGCCCACCAAGGCGACGAUCAGUAGCCGGUCUGAGAGGAUGAACGGCCACAUUGGGACUGAGAUACGGCCCAGACUCCUACGGGAGGCAGCAGUGGGGAAUAUUGGGCAAUGGGGGAAACCCUGACCCAGCAACGCCGCGUGAAGGAAGAAGGCUUUCGGGUUGUAAACUUCUUUUAGCAGGGACGAAGGACGUGACGGUACCUGCAGAAAAGCAACGGCUAACUACGUG
This 482-nucleotide ribosomal RNA is filed under the name uncultured bacterium. RNAcentral describes it as "bacterial SSU rRNA". It matches the Rfam family "Bacterial small subunit ribosomal RNA", at positions 28 to 507 of the family's 1533-position model. The record is from RNAcentral.